RNAcentral lists this long non-coding RNA (3587 nucleotides) under Marmota monax (woodchuck). The record is from RNAcentral. Lineage: Eukaryota; Metazoa; Chordata; Mammalia; Rodentia; Sciuridae.
ACUGUGCACUCCUAGUGUAAAUGGCAGAGACAGCCACAGAAUUUUACCUUCUCACUGGGAAAUUAUUUUCUCUCUGUGUGUUUUGAUGGUGACAGGCUUUCUUCCAACUUGCAGUUCUUCCUCCUUGGGGGAAUAGAAAUGUAAGGAAUAAUUUCUGAUUUGAUAUUUCCUGUUCUACUCACGUACCACUGCAGUUUAAAGACUAUCUACCAAACUAGCUAACAACCCACUUUCAAAACUAUACUUUGGGAAAACAGAAGGCCAAGGGGAAGAGAAGAAAAAGUCUCUUCAAAGAAUACAUUUGAGGAUAUACGUGAAGUAUUUGGAAGAAGAGAUGAUUUGCUAAUUCUACUGGGCACAUAACAUUGUAUAAAGCUACAUUGAUGUGAUCUAGGUAAGAUAAUUUUUUUUUUUUAAUUUUUUUUAUUGGUUGUUCAAAACAUUGGGUAAGAUAAUUCUUAAGCUAAAAUUCUAUCAUUAUGCUGUAUAAGGCAGUGUCAUUGUAAGCGAAGAUGUUUGCCUAUCACACAUAAUUCAAAAUAGUCUUGUUCAUCACUAAUUCUGGAAAAGAAUGAUGAGUACUUGUUUACUGGCUAAAAUGACAUAGCCAUGGGAAAGCGAUGUAAACAUGCUCCAGAAUUCACAGAUUUAUCAGCGUCCAAAUAAAAAUUCUCAAUUUUUUUUUAAAACUCAGGGAAUUAACAUGAUUUUGAAUUUUGUGCCAAAAUGAGAUAUUAUUAAUAAUGUUAUCAUAGUACUUUAAAUCUGUAAAUCUCAAAAUUUUAGGUGAUAGAAUGAUGAUGCAGAGGAGUGAAUAUGAAUCAGUUUGAAAUCAAAGGUAAUAAAAAUGGCACAUGGUACUCUGUUCAAGGGAUGGCCAAAUACAUUUUGGUCUUCUUGGUAUAACCAGGUUAAAACCCAUCCAAUAGUUACAGACUCUAGAACCAAAAGGAAACAAAAACUGAGAUUUGCCUAACCUAAACUUCUCUCCCACACAUUGUCUGCAAAUAUCUGGGCUCAAACACACAGGAAUAAAGGACUGUCCAGUGCAAAUAGUCAAGUCCAUUGAUUUCCUUCAUCUUGCUCCAUUUAAUAUGAUCUUCCUCCUGUGUUCUCCAUCUGAGUAAAAAGAACAUUCAUCACCCAGAAACCCCAGCUUCCCUGGAUCCCCUCACCUAACCCACCUCCCAGUCCUGAGAUUCUACCUCGCAAACCUUCUCUCCAUCUCUUCUACUGUCCUUCCAUCCCAGCCCACAUGCUGUCCCAUUCUGGUCUCCUGGGUCCCUUCUCAUGACCCCUUUUCACCUAUCUUCCCUGUAGCAAGAGGAAUUUUUAGAAUGUAAAUCAGCUCAUGUUACACCCCUGCUUAACAUCUGUCCAUAUGCCCUCGUAAGAACGUCCAAGAUCUUUAAUAUGGUCUUCAUGUCCCUGCAAUCUCAGGCUCUGAUGGCUCCCUCAGAGUCAUUGCCCACCGUGGUGGCCUCUCAUGAAUGUCCCCCAUCCUGGGCUUUUUGAGUUCCUGAAGUCACCAAACACUCCUCUACCUGGGGACAUUCAAAUUGCUGCUCCCUGUCCCUGGAAUGAUCUUGCUUGGCUAAAGCCUGCCUGUCCUUCAGGUUUCCACUGAAAUAUAUCUCAGAGCAGUUACUUUUCCUUUGUAGUCACCACAGUUGACAUUACAUGUACAUGUGUGUCCACAUGCAUGUGUGUAUAAUUAACGUAGUUAAAUUUUAUUUAUAUACAUAUGCACACACACAGAUGUAUAAUUUGUGUAGUGUGUGACAACAGUGUAUCUGCUUCAUCUUACUGUUGUAUUUACCCAGCAUAGAACAUGCUUCCUGCUCUUUUUGAGUACUUAAUACAUUGUAUCAAAUCAGAUGUAAUUAUUAGAAAUGUAUUCAUAUCUAAUUAUUAAAAAAUAAUUUAUAGAAAACUUGGAAUGGAACCAUUUGACCCAGUUAUCCCACUCAUCUGUUUAUACCCAAAGGAUUUAAAAUCAACAUACUACAGUGGCAAGGCCACUUCAAUGUUUAUAGCAGCUCAAUUCACAAUAUCCAAGCUAUGGAAUCACACUAGGUGCCCUGCAAUAGAUGAACGGAUGAAGAAAAUGUGGUAUAUACACACAAUGGAAUAUCACUCAGCCAUAAAAAAGAAUAAAAUUAUGGCAUUUGCCAGUAAAUGGAUAGAACUAGAGAGUAUCUUGCUAAGAGAAAUAAGCCAAUCUCCCAAAACCAAAUGCAGAAUGUUCUCUCUGAUACGUGGAUACUAACUCACAACAGAGGAGGGGAAGAUUAGAAGUUCACUGGACUAGACAAAGGGAAUGAGGGGAAGGGAGGGGGAAUAGGAAUUGAAAAGGCAUUAGAAUAAGUUGGACAUAUCUUUGUUAUCCUUAUAUAUGAAUAAAUGACCAAUGUAAUUAUAUAUCAUAUACAACCAUAAAACAUGAUCCUAAAUGGAACAAGUUAUACUUACUCUAUGUGUGUAUAAUAUAUCAAAAUACACUCUGUCAUGUAUAUCUGGAAAGAACAAAUAAAAAAAGAAAGUAAAAGAAAAUAAUUAAUUUAUAAAUUGUGCAUUAGUUGAAAUGUAUUUUACCAACCAAAUACCAUGUUAAGUGGUAUCUUUUUUGUGCAAAACAGAAUUGUGCUACAUUAAAAAAUAUUGUCCUGGGGAGCCAAAGAAUAAACACAUGAAUGAAGUACUCAUCACUUAUUUAAGCUAACUUUAACAUUAACAGUGCAUGCAUAAUUAAACUCACAGUCAUGAGUUAAAUAAAUAAAUGAUUAGCUUGGGGACAGGAUGGCCACCAUGGGCGAUAUCAUCUCCUUCACUGUUUGUUGGGUAGAGGACAUUAUCUAGUUGCUAUAGUUCAGCUACAUAUGUUUCCUUAGUUGAUGAUGUGUGGAAUAAGUAAUAAUGAUGAUUAAAUAAUGGUAAUACAUGAAUAUAAAUUAAAUUAUUUCAAUGCUUACCAUGAAUCAGCUUCAUUUAAAUCUUGCCAGAUCUUUAUUACAAGGUUACCCAUUAUCACCCUAUUUUACAGGUUGGGAAACUGAGACUUGGAGAGCUUAAAUGACUUGUGAUUCCAGGAGCUGGACAUUGACCCCAGGUCUGUGACUGCAGUGUCAUGGUUCCAAAGCCCUGUACCAUGGCCAGUGUCACAAACAUUUUCAUGAUCACCCACAAGGGGCAUCAGGGUUGUAAUGAUAGACUUUCCCUUUCUUUUUCUUCUAAAUAGUACACAGUAGAGUUCUUAACUCAGAACUUAAUUGAAAUAAAGAGCCAUGUAGUUUGUUUAUCAUCAGUGACAUUUUACUGAUUAUUUUCUUCAUUCAAUGAAUACAAAUGUUUUUUACACUGGUUUCAGCUGUAGCAACUCUGUUAAAAUAUCCAGUUUGUAAACCUGCAAGUUUCUUUAAAAAAGAUGGCACGGACACUCCAGCAUGCCACAGGGCUGUUUUGUAUCCCCACCCGCCCAUGACAUGGGCGUUGGAGGACCCUCAUCCAAGAAGUAGCAGGAGAAGGUGGGGGAUUGGACCAUAUGACGGUUUAUAUUUCUUAAUAAAUCUUUACCACGACACUGGUUA